Molecule: long non-coding RNA, 608 nt
Organism: Pogoniulus pusillus (Red-fronted tinkerbird)
Lineage: Eukaryota; Metazoa; Chordata; Aves; Piciformes; Lybiidae
Exons: 2
Source: RefSeq, a predicted model, not a curated record
UGUAAGUUGAGCACAACCUGUGAGUGGCUUUCCCACUGACUAGCAGAUAUCUGAAAGUUCACAACAGAAGGCAGCUCACCUGCAAGCUGAUGAGCUGCCCUGCUAAGGAACAGCUGACAUCCAAAUUACUGCCCUCAGGGGCAGUAUGUGGAGCUGCUGCUGCUGCUGGUCAUGGUCUCUCCUCUACAAAAGUGUGGAGCCAGGGAGAACUGGGACAUGCCUCCUCUUCCCCCCACAAACCUGGAGGUCAUUGAAGAUGUUACCCUGUGGAACUGUGAGUAAAUAAGGCAGUGGAAUGCUGCCUCCUCUCCUACUUCCACAGGCAAAAGUGGGACCACAUCAUGACAGACCAUCAAGCUGUUUUGGUUGGAAAAGAACUCUAAGAUCAUUGAGCCCAACCAUCACCCUGAGACCAUUGUGGCCAUGAUGCUGAGGCACAGCUGCAGGGCAGAUUUUCCCCUUCACCAAGUCAUUUCCACUGUCUUCUGUCUACAUCCAGUAGGAAGCCUGCUGCAAAAACUUCUUUAAAUGCUAAAGGCUGCAGCUGAGAUGAGAUUCCUGCUUUGAGAAGCACACACUGGGACCAAUGGACUGACACUGCAACACAA